RNAcentral lists this long non-coding RNA (230 nucleotides) under Brachypodium distachyon (stiff brome). RNAcentral describes it as "long non-coding RNA (BDIS_LNC003274)". The record is from RNAcentral. Lineage: Eukaryota; Viridiplantae; Streptophyta; Magnoliopsida; Poales; Poaceae.
ACGAUUCCCUCCCCUCCUCUUGGCGAGCGACGGCCGCGCCCUCCCAUACCCCGCUGGCGCGCCUCAGAUUGCAUCCAGAUGCAGCCCCGCACGGGCGCUUCGCCGGCCCGCCCAUGCGGGAUCCGCCUCGUGCCCUCGUCCACCCCCUCCAUCAACCCCGUCCGCGAUUCCUCUGUGUCGCUGGUCCCUCUCCGUCGUCUGCCUCAUCCCAAGCCUCCCCAUCCGCAGCC